UUGAAACCCUAUGCUUGUGUGAAUGUGACUUCGGACUAUGAUAAUAGUAAACAAAGGUGACAUUGACAAUAGAGACAAGAUUGGCAAUGAGAUAUGGUUUGUUAAACAUGGUUUAAACCAUAGUGACAUUAUGGCAAAAGUAGCCUAGAGAGUGGCAAAUAUGAUAAGGUAGAAACUUAUCAUUGAUAUAGUGGCAUCGUGGCUAUGGCUAUGCGUCCUCAAGUUGAGGAUUGGAUCGAUACUCACAUUGAGUCUUGGCUUGAGGGAGGUAGCUCCCCCUCAAGCGAUGCGCUCCGGAGUUGGUCACCACUGGGCGAGGUAAAGUCCCCCC
RNAcentral lists this long non-coding RNA (331 nucleotides) under Ananas comosus (pineapple). RNAcentral describes it as "long non-coding RNA (ACOM_LNC012291)". The record is from RNAcentral. Lineage: Eukaryota; Viridiplantae; Streptophyta; Magnoliopsida; Poales; Bromeliaceae.